This 306-nucleotide long non-coding RNA is filed under the name Androctonus crassicauda. Lineage: Eukaryota; Metazoa; Arthropoda; Arachnida; Scorpiones; Buthidae. The record is from RNAcentral.
GAAUAAGUAAAAUAAAUCAUUUGUUUAAGAAUGUUUUUGGCUAUCCACGUGGCCUCCCUCAGUUGGGGUGCGGACCGGGGAGGUUUCCCUUUAUCCUUUCUCAUCUGGCCAAGUCGGGGACCAAUCAGUGACUGGUUCAUGAAGUUAGCGGGACUGCAGGUGGAGGAUUGUUCUUCCAUACACAUUUUUGGGAGGGCUCAGCGGGCGGUUCCUGAGAAGACAACAUUAUUACUAUUAUCAUCAUAAUAGUAAGGUACAAAUAAUAAUAAUAUAAUACAAAAAAUUGUCACUCUCUUAAAAUUGGGA